GCCGUGACUCAGCAGUUCCCAUACAUUGCCAGGCAGAGAUCAGGAGAUGCUCUGUUGCAGAGCAGAUAUCCCCUGUAGAUUGUGGAGAGCCCAGGCUGGAGCAGAAAAGUGUGAGGAGUCAACAAAUCACGUGAAUGUCUGAAUUUCCUAAAUAUAUGUAGUAGUUACACACCAUCUUUGCAUGUUCAUCAUUUCACAACUCAGACAACAAGGAUAAAAACUGUAACGUUUCUGGAUUUAUCUGUUUUAUGGAAUACUAUAGUUCUAACCAAGCAUAACUAAAUUUUAAAAAUGUGUUUCUCUCCAACUGUGCUGUUGAUUUAUACCACUAAUAGGCUAUCAGAAUGGACUGGCAAAGAAGAACCAGGGAGGUGAUGAAGACUUCUUAUCAUGGGCUCUCCAGAACUGAAGCCACAUGACAAUAUGCUGGAUGCAUUAGGAGUCUAGACAUAUGGCUAGAAAAUGGAACAGCUGUAUUUGUUUGAACAGCCUGAAGGUACUGCUUCCUCAGCAGCAAAAAUUCUUACGAUGGACAAGUUCAGACUUCAGGAACAGUCCUACAAACUCUCAUUAUGAUGAAUAUUCUUGGAUUCAUCUACAGACUGCAGUAAUAUCAAAAAAGAUAAAGACAAAGAAAUCAUUUUGUGCCAAAAUGAGACUUCUCAAGUCUAUCCCAGUGUAGGGGUUGUUUGUUGUAAACCUUUUAUUAAAUCAGAUAAAAUUUCAAUGUAACCAAAAGUAAUUUGGAACGAACGUGAUUUUGUUACAUAGUCUGAAGUUAGAGAUUUUAUAAAUGAUUGAAAAGUUUGAAACAAUAUGUGUAUGCACUCUCUUUGAUCUCCAACUUCUAAUAUCUACUUGCUAUUGUAUUACUUUAAAAUAUCUUACCCUCUGAGGUAAUUUGCUAAUGAGACAACAUACGUAUCUGACCUUAAUAUGACUUUUUCAGUCCCUGGUAUGAAGAAUUUGAUUGCUACAGAUAAUGUAAUUCUGAGAAAUUCAUGCAUGAAACUUAAUAAGAUAGAAAAGUAUUUGAAGCUAUUUGGAAAGAAAAACAAGUUAUCAAGAAUAUAAGAGUAUGUUAGAAAAACUACAGCUACAGAAGAAUAAGGCUCUUUUUUAUUGUAAUGAAGCAUCAACAGUGGUGAAGAAAAUACAUGGGUUCAAAAAUGCCUUUAGGAAAAUUUAAUGAGAAAAACAGCAGCACUAAUGCUUUAUUAAGGCUCCAACUGCAUGGUGCAAUGAGCACUGGGUAAAGUAAUACAUCUUAAAUUGAUUACAUUGAUUAAAAUCAACAGUCAAAGAAUUAUUUUCCUGUGUAAGAGAAAAACAGGAAUUUAAGAAUACCCAAACCAGUAAAAAUCACAGUAAAGAAGAGGAAUCAAGGCAGAACUUACAGAUAACGAACUUAUACGUUUUCAUUCCUGUGAACAUGUGGAUUUCAUGUUGUAUGCAAUCACAGAAUGACUAAAUAUUAUGGAUUUUAAUGAGAAAAACAUAUGAAAUCAUACAAAAUUCCAACCAGCGAACAAGAAAACGAAAGUAUUUUCCAAGAAUCACCCUUUACUAUUAUUAUUACAUAGGAAUCUUGAAAGAGGUCACAACAAACCCUUUUUCUUUUGAUCCGUUCCAUAAAUAUCAAUUUCAUGCUGAGAUCAGUAGGAUGAGUGACAUGCAAUUGGACAUUGGGGCAAUUCAAAACACAACUUCAGAAGUGCAAAAAUCACAUACGUGUUCUGAACUGUGUCUUGUAUAAGCCAUUUACAUUGUUGGGCACAGAAACCCAAACAGUUUAAGGAUCUGUCUUAUUUAACCUUCUGAUUUGUACAGUCAUAACAUGGCUAAAUAAAAAGAACUGAACAUUUGAAUCUGAGCAUGAACAGAUGGAACAGGAGUCUAGAAAGGACUAGUUAUAAAUGUCACAGACAAUAGAGCUGCACUGGUGAGAUACUGCAAUAGUCAAAGCAAUGGAAUGACACUAUUAGACUUCUAGACCAUAAAUGAAAAAACAAAUUACAAUAGCAUGAUAAAAGCAUAAAGAAUGAAGAAACGGGUAAGGCUUUUGUUCUGUUUAGGAAUACCAAAUAUCCAUUUGUUCUGUUUUAACAAAAACCUGUUAAAUAAAAUAUCAGAGUAGAGAAUGAUGUCCAGAAUAGUGCAUCUGGAUUCCAUCCUGUGUACAAACUGACAAAGCCAUUAUCAGAAGCAUUUUUCUCACAGACAUACACACAGUAUUUUGAAAGGAUCUAGGGGUGAUUGUAUAAAAAACAUCAGCAAAAUGCAGAGCCUGAUUUCACUGGUGUGAGAACAGAAAGGAUUGAAGAUUAUUUAAUCAUCAUGCUUACUGGGAUUACGCUGUGAUUAAACCUGAAUUGUGGAAGAGAGAGUCAACCGUCAUCCAAAAUCUGUUUUGUGGAAUGAGAAGGUCUUUCUCUUUUCAUUAUUGUUUAAGAAUGUUAUAAUUCCCUUGUCUUCAUAAUAGGUAUGUAUGCUAAAAUCCUCUCUUGUUCUUAGGUAAGAUGAUUCCCUUGUACUUUUUAAAUACCAGUUCAAAUGCC
This is a non-coding RNA of Phasianus colchicus (ring-necked pheasant), 2558 nucleotides long. Lineage: Eukaryota; Metazoa; Chordata; Aves; Galliformes; Phasianidae. The record is from RefSeq and is a predicted model, not a curated record.